UACGUAGGGUGCGAGCGUUGUCCGGAAUUAUUGGGCGUAAAGAGUUCGUAGGCGGCUUGUCGCGUCGGAUGUGAAAGCCCGGGGCUUAACUCCGGGUCUGCAUUCGAUACGGGCAGGCUAGAGUUCGGUAGGGGAGAUCGGAAUUCCUGGUGUAGCGGUGAAAUGCGCAGAUAUCAGGAGGAACACCGGUGGCGAAAGCGGAUCUCUGGGCCGAUACUGACGCUGAGGAACGAAAGCGUGGGGAGCGAACAGG
This 253-nucleotide ribosomal RNA is filed under the name uncultured bacterium. RNAcentral's name for it is "partial 16S ribosomal RNA". It matches the Rfam family "Bacterial small subunit ribosomal RNA", at positions 524 to 776 of the family's 1533-position model. The record is from RNAcentral.